This 261-nucleotide unclassified non-coding RNA is filed under the name Mortierella sp. RNAcentral describes it as "partial internal transcribed spacer region". The stretch from base 1 to 46 matches the Rfam family "Eukaryotic small subunit ribosomal RNA", at positions 1786 to 1831 of the family's 1831-position model. The record is from RNAcentral. Lineage: Eukaryota; Fungi; Mortierellomycota; Mortierellomycetes; Mortierellales; Mortierellaceae.
AAGUCGUAACAAGGUUUCCGUAGGUGAACCUGCGGAAGGAUCAUUCACAAUAAGAGUGUUUAUGGCACUCUUCAAAAAAUCCAUACCCACCUUGUGUGCAAUGUAAAAAGAGUCUUUGCUGAGGAAGGGAGAAUAAAACCUCCCCAACGAUUGCCUAGAUUCUUUUCAUCUUCAUACACCUUUCUAUUAGUUCCUAUAGUCUGAAGUAUAGAAUUAUCACAAUUCAAAUAUAACUUUCAACAACGGAUCUCUUGGCUCUCA